UUUUUUUUUUUUUUUUCAUUUUCAACUUCUCAUGUUCUGAAAGAUAGACCUGAAUUAUAAGUACUGUUUUUAUCAGUCUGGCAGGUCAUUUUUAGAGAGAAGGAGGAAGUUAGUCCAUACUGCAUUGCGUACAUUUAAUUGAAAUGGUAAGUACUGAUGCACUAAAAACUUGUCCCUUUUUCUGAUAUAUCGUGUUCUGAGCAGGGCAAUCUUCUAUUUAUUUUUCUGUGAGAAAGGGAGUGGUUUUGCUUUCAGUGGAAUUUAGCUCUCAUUCCCAGUGAAAGCCAGUUCAGCUGUGCAGGUAUGUAUGGACACAGAAGGACCAGUAGUUACAGACCCAGACAAGGUCCAAGGAGUAGCAACCUUGCUGCUUUAGAUUAACUGUAAUGAUCUAGCAAAAAUAAAUAAACAGAAAAUUUUUGUGGUCAUCAAAAUUAUGCCAAUAGCAGCUUGAGUGAUGAAACCUAAGAAAUGCAUUGGAAUUAAUUAGUUUUUGUGCUACUGUGAAAGAUGUGAAAAAACAUCAGUAAAGAGCUACCUAGUUCAUGUUUUGUGAGUGGGUACAAAGCAGUUUGGAUAGUGGGAGUAAAGCAGUCUUAUCUUAGGGGAGUCCAGUUCCAGUAGUAGUUUAUUGCAGAAAAGGAAGAGUCAAGGGAAGAGAAAUUGUAUUACUUUUUAAAUCCUCGAACUUUGACCCUGUACUUUUUCACUACAGUAUUAUCCCAGAAAAUCAAAAGGUGGGAUCUUUAGAAGUUUUUUUGUGAAGGAUCAUAUUUUUGAAGAAAGGUAGAAUUGAAAAAGAUGAAGAAAAUUAAGUACAUUAAAAAGUUCUCACUUGUUAAGUUGCUUUGCAAACAGUUUUGGAAGAGAGCAGUGAGGUUCAAGUUCAGACUAGCUUCAAGCUGCUUAGGUGCUGCAGUGUUUGAUUUCUCAUCUGCUGCAGGACAGAUGCCCACGACACAGAAUGAGUCAGAGCUUCAGCUGCAAAGGAGUAUGUAAGAUCUUGGUCCUGUGAAAUGAAGAAAAAAGUUUAACACUCUGUAUGUUGAAUGGUUGCCUGAUCACUUUCAUUUAUGAGUGAUGACUAACGCCAUUGUGUUAGAGAACAGCAUUUCAGACUUUUGCAGGCUUGUGAUGGCAGGCUGCUGAAGGCUCCCUUCUCGCUGUAUGCCAAACCAGAGGGAAGGACAUUGGUCAGAAGCAUGGCUAAUAGUCCUGGCCAAAGUGCCCUGUCCCUCCACAGGACCUGACAGCCCUAUCUCUGCUUGGCACUUGAUGAAGAGCUUCCUCCUGACCUGCUGCCUGGGGGUGCAAUCUCAUGUCUCCCUGCAGAUCUGGGGUGAUGUGCUUUCGGGUUGCACUUAAAUUUGUGUCUUGGGCACUGUUACUGGGGGUGUGAGUCACUCCAUGCUCAGAGGAAGGGGAUGUGCCCCCAGGCUGGAGGAGUUCCCGGUUAAAGAGGAGUACAAGUCUCUGCAAGUGAGCUCAGUGAACGGAGGAUGCAGGAGAAGGGCGUGCAGGGUUGGCAGGUGUGUGUGUUGCAGUUUCGAAGUGCAGGUAAACUCUCAGGCUUUCAGAGGGUAGAUCAAGGUGGUGACUGGUAGUGCGUUACUUUCCCAGCUGUAACUUGCUCUGAGUACUGGCCUCAGUAACUACAUAUCCCUCUCUCUGAGCUGGCAGGGAGCGACUUGCUCUUUAAUCUCAAUGUAGCAAAAUACACAAGAGAAGUUAGAAACACACUCUAAUUUCCCACCUCACAUUCUUGUGCAGAUAUGCUUUUAAUUAUGUUGGGCUUUUUUUGAAAACAUUUAGCUGCCCCUGAGUGACCCAGGGAUUAAUUUUUCUAACCUGAAUCAAUACUAACUAUAUGGAAAGUACUACUGUCCUGCUGAGCUGUGUCAGCUGUCCAGCAGUCUGGGCUUCAUCUGGCUGAACAUAGAAUUCACGAGAUGGCAGCAUAGCAUGAGCCAGGCACACCAGCAUCCCCUCUGUCCCUUGUGGAGAAAGUUGGUACCCACCAGUGUUUUGUUCAUUCUUUUGAGGCAUCUUUUUUGAGUGGGGUGUGCUACCUUGCUGAGAUGCUGGUUGCUUUUCCCUGAUGAGAGAUGGGAGCAUUCCCCAGGACAAGCCUUAAUGUGGGUUGGAUUUAAUUGAGAGUAGUUAAUCUCUGAUUAAAAACUGUUCAGUUCCUUUGUAUUGGUUUGAACAUACUUCAUAGAAUCGUUUGGGUCUGAAGGGACCUGAAAGAUCAUCUUGUUCCAGUACUUCAGUGUGGGCAGGGACACCUUCCACUAGACCAGGGCCUCAUCCAUCCUGGUCUCAAAUAUUCCAAGGAUGGGUUAUCCACGUCUUUGCAUUUUCUUGCAGUGCCUCACCACCCACACAGUCAAGGAUUUCCUUGUAAUGUCUAAUCUAAAUCUACUCUCUAUUUAAAUGGUUUUAAAUGGAGAAUGAAUAGGUGGAUAUUUUUUUAUACAGUCCGGGGAUGAGCACAUGCCUGAAAGUUUUGCUUCUUUACUGGAUGACCUCAUUUGUAUGAGCGCAGCAGUUCCCAAAAUACACUGCAGUGUAGAAGUACCUCAGCUUGCUUUAAAUGGUGUGUUGAGAACUAGCUGCUGUCGAACAAUGGCAGCGGCGUGGAGCUCAGCACCAGCUCAUUUUCCCUGCUGCUUAUGUGCACCAAACAUCUUGGGAAAUAGUGUAGACAUACUUGUAGCACUUAUGGAAGAAGAGUGUCAUACAUAAAAUUGCUCUGAUUAGCUGUCUUUGGGAGUGGUGGUGAUUCUCCCCCUGAAUGUUUACACCUGGUAUGUGCUUGGGCAUGGAAGAGUUCAUUUCAGAAAUUAGGAUUAAUGGGUUGAAUGUCUUAAAUUUAUAUAAACACUAUAUUCAGUGUAUUCAACCAUUUCAGUUAUUUUCCGUUAUUUCCCCUUUUUCAGUCAAUUUAUUUCAUUUCCCUAUGGGUUUAGUCUAAUACCCAUUUCUGAAAUAUAAAUAUUAGUUUCCCUUUUAGGCUGUCCUAAGAGGCCUGAUUUCAUAUGAAAGGUUUGUUAUAAACAUGGGUAGGAUGGAAAACCAUUCUCUUCAUGGUGCACACUGCAUUGCUUUAGGAUAACUUGAACUUCUGCAGUUCAAGAAACAAGAAUUUAUUUAUAUUGAUUUAAUGAAAAGCUUAGGGGGUUACAUUUGCAUAUUUAUGGUAGUUAGCAUUUCAGUUAUUUGUAUUAGCAAUUGCUUCUCUUCCAGUAUUAAUAAGGCAGGUGCUUUUGUAUAAAUAAAAAAUGAAAAAAAGAAAAGAAAAAAAGUAAAGAGAUUAGUGCCACAGGUUAAUUUUUGUAUAAAGGUAAUGACUUCCAGCCACUGCAGUAACACUCAAUAUUCCCCUAGUGAUACCUCGAGUCAAGAAAGAAAUUAACUUCUGUAUAUUAAGUUAGCAGUGGCAAACAAAAUUGAAGAUGAAAAGAAAAUGAAGGGGCAAGGAAAAAGGCUCAGUUCCUCAACACUGCCACAAGGAACACUCAACUCUAACUUCAACAUUUGGUUACUUCCUUUAAUGCCCAACAGAAGUGAAAAAUGCUAUGGUAGCACUGGGCCAUAUGCAAAUCCCUUUUAAACUUGUGGGACUUCGAUUAGGCCUAUCUUUUAUUAGUUUUUGUUUGUUUUUGUUUGGUGGGGGUUUUUUUUUUUUUUUUUGUUGUUUUUCUUUUGGGUUUUUUGGCUUUUUUUAUUUCUUCCAGAAACAAAGAGGCAAGAUAGGCCUGCUGAAGGGGCGUGUUACAAAACAUCUGGCUCUUCCCUGCAUAUGAAGAUCUGCUUUACUUAAUGCCUCGUUUUGUUUUAAUGGAGUUUCAGUGGGUGAUGUAGAUUAAAGCUACUCCUGUGUGGAACUACCUGAAGUCUUUUGCAUUAAUGCAGUGUCAAGUGCUCACUUAGGAGGAAAGUCUGCAGGUGUUUCAUUUUGCACCUGUGUCCCUGUGGUGUGUUUGUGUAGCCAGAGGAAGCCAAAAGAAGAUGAGGAUUGGAUAUGUUAUCCCAGCAAUGCCUUGGAGCUUUCCUUCCAUGGAGCUAGAGUGGACUUGAGGAAGCUGUCUGAUCUCCAGUAAUGUAAUGACUGUUUUCCCUUCUUUGGAAACAGAGCAGCUCUGUUAGGACAUAGGAAGGAAGCCAAAAAGUCAAAUUGGCUGAGAACAAAUAAUGAAAUUAGCUAGUGCUGCUUCCCUGACAGAACUAAUAAAUGAGGCAGAAAAUAUAACAAAAUCCACAAAUGAAGAUGUGGUUGUCUAUGCUUUUUUAAGACACUGUGUGUGUAAUAUAUAUAUAUAAAUAUAUAGAUAUAUAUAUAGAUAUAUAUAUACAUUUCUAUUUCUCUAUAUAUAAAAAUGUAUUUUAUUUUUUUAAAUCUCGACAGUGUCAUUUAAAAACAAUCAUGCUUUUGGAGUUUCUGGUUCUUGCCAUUGCAAAUUCUUUUCCUAAAUUGUAAGAGACGGGCAAAAAUUUAAGGAGCUUUGCAUUGCUCUUUAAAUGGGCAAAAUCUUGGAAAGAAUUAAUUGCUCUUGUAAUGCAGUUAUUUCUAUUUUGGUCAUGUUCAAAAACCACUCUGACCAGGAAUACUGAAUUAGAGCUGGCUGUGGGUGUUAAUCUCCACAGAUAGCUUGGAUUGUGUUGAAGAAAGGAAAGAAGGCUUAAGGGUGGAAGGUCCUGUCUGUGUUUGUGUUUCCUGGAGAGGAGCUGUCCUGCGCCCAGCUGGCUGAAGAGGACCUGGCAUGACGAGUUAAGCAAGGUGCGUGUCCUUGGCAGGAGCAUCUUGCUAAACAAAAACCUGUUGCCGCUUGUGUACUGUGGCUUAGCAAAACAAAACAGAACUGCCCAGGGGAGUGGAUGCUUCUCACACAGCUAACCACCAAGCAUGAAAGUCCUUCUGUAUAAUGUGAGGCAGCCAAAAACUGGUGGCUGCCAUUGCCCAUGCAGGGACUGAGGGCAGAAGGUGCAAGAGAAAGCAGAUGUUGCAUGCACUUGUGUUUCUUCAGGUCAAAACUUAAAAAUCUGUUGUUGCUGAGCACGUGGUGUACUUCAUGUGAAUUGUGCUACUAUAUGCUUGGCCCUCGGGACCGAUUGCUAUGUAAAUGCAAAUUAUUUAAUUAACAUUAUUGUUUCCGUUUGCCAUAAUAUGAUUUUUAUGAGCAUUUCUCGAUUAAAGUUCACUUUAGAAACAUAGCAAUUGCUUCCAAAUUGCUUGGCUGUGCACUGCAUUUUAAACCUCCUUAAUGCAGUAACGAAUCCUUAUCAUUCCUUAAUCAUCAGAUGAGCAGCCAAAAGAAAAGAUAUAACCAAGAUGGGUAA
Molecule: long non-coding RNA, 5340 nt
Organism: Taeniopygia guttata (zebra finch)
Lineage: Eukaryota; Metazoa; Chordata; Aves; Passeriformes; Estrildidae
Source: Ensembl